GGAUUGAAGGCUGAAAUUCGCCUUCAUGAAGCCGGAAUUGCUAGUAAUGGCAGGUCAGCAUACUGCCGUGAAUACGUUCCCGGGCCUUGUACACACCGCCCGUCACACCAUGGGAGUCGGUAACACCCGAAGUCGGUAGCCUAACCGUAAGGAGGGCGCCGCCGAAGGUGGGAUUGAUGACUGGGGUGAAGUCGUAACAAGGUACC
RNAcentral lists this ribosomal RNA (206 nucleotides) under uncultured bacterium. RNAcentral's name for it is "partial 16S ribosomal RNA". It matches the Rfam family "Bacterial small subunit ribosomal RNA", at positions 1295 to 1500 of the family's 1533-position model. The record is from RNAcentral.